GCGGCCAUGAUGCAGUCAGUUCUCCGCGGCGGAGGUAUCUGAGCGUUAUCUGCGGUUAUCUGUCUGUGCAUUGCGUUCCUUUUCUUUAGUAAAUAAGGAUGGGAGAACCCAACUGUCGUGUGUCAUACCCGACAACGGGCUGGGUAAAUGACAUAUCUCGUUUGCCCACCGUGACGGACAACGCCAUAAAAGACUUUCACGCCAGGAAAAGUCUAGCCAAUCGACAUUACCGCCGCAGCUACAAGUUCACAACGGAAUCUUACGUUGUUGCAUCGACGCUGAAGGCUUGCUACAAGGACGAAACGCACAACAUGCUGUAUGUGACAUGCAAAUGUUACCGGAGUCAGAAGAAGAGAAGCGACCCAUAUACGAUUCUCAUCUGUCUCAACAACACCGGCGUUGUUAUAGAUAACAGUUGUGGAUGCCCUAUAGCAAAACGUGCGUAACCACAGCCUUGGUUCGCUGCGAUUUUUGGCACUGCUGCAGCUGUAAGGUUUUAAAGAGGCACCGGCUGAGCUUUCCUGCACAGAUUUACCACAAAAAUGGCGAGUGCCAAGGCAACAAGUUGUUAACGGUUAUGCAGUACAGGCGGUUGACUGGAGGCGACCAGAAGAAAACGGAAACGAGAACAGGAUCCCUCUGCGACUUUACGAUGCAAGAAAGAAGGCACAAUCUAAGGAAGAGGAAACCGAAGCUAUAAAACGAUUUGGAGAGCCCUUGCAUUGCUCGACGGUGAUAAAGGGUUUGCUGCUUCUCUUCUUGACGCAAGGCAUGAGUUCCAGCAAACGAAGUUCGGACAGUCUCUUUGUGGGGCACUUUUAACGUACCAACAAUCACUGACGCCAUCGGGGUUCAAGUCCUUCUUGUCUCCAAAUUUUUGUGGGACACACUGUGAGCUUCAGGAUGCCUUUAGUGCCACCUUUUACAGGAACAACAAUCCCUGGAAAGUUCAUGAUAGCCUCCCUACGCCAUACCAAGCCAUUCUGAUGAUAUGGCAUCAGCAAUGAGGCCGCGGUUGUCCAGCGUUACAGACAAGUCAUGUGCUCAGUUGGCCAUGACGUUGCUCUAUUAUCCUGUGGACUGUUUGUCGACCCUGCAACUCCAUGGCUCGGUGCUACACCGGAUAGGAUUGUCUUUGAUCCCACCGAGAGGAGCCCACACGGCGUGCUGGAAGUUAAGUGCCCCUAUUCACUCCGUGACACACCAGGGGAACUACUUAAGGAGCAAAUCUUUUAUAUGACAUUCAACAACGAGCACCCCCAGCUUAGAAGGGACCACGACUAUUAUGCCCAGGUUAUUGGCCAAAUGGGAUUAACAGGUUUGCAGUGGGCAGACUUUAUGAUGUAUGGGCCCGGAUUUCUGACCGUGGAAAGGAUUAGAUAUGAUGAAGAGGAAUGGGGGUGAUAUGAAGGCGAAGCUCACAACGUUUUAUUUCAGUGAUGCCCUACCAUAUUUUGCAAGGCAGGAAUGUUCAUAGGCUUGCACCAUAUUUGUAAUGUGCUUGUUGAAAGAUAGGAUGAUAAGAUAAGAUAAGAUGUUGAUAGAUAGCAGCGCUAGAACAAACUUUUGUUAUGUAUUAAUAAACUUUUAAAACUUGAA
Ornithodoros turicata is the source of this 1599-nucleotide long non-coding RNA. RefSeq lists it as uncharacterized. The record is from RefSeq and is a predicted model, not a curated record. NCBI's taxonomy places the organism in Eukaryota, Metazoa, Arthropoda, Arachnida, Ixodida, Argasidae. The transcript has 3 exons.